Molecule: ribosomal RNA, 488 nt
Filed under: uncultured Glomeromycotina
Lineage: Eukaryota; Fungi; Glomeromycota
Description: SSU rRNA
Rfam family: Eukaryotic small subunit ribosomal RNA
Source: RNAcentral
AGCAGCCGCGGUAAUUCCAGCUCCAAUAGCGUAUAUUAAAGUUGUUGCAGUUAAAAAGCUCGUAGUUGAAUUUCGGGGUCAGCAGGUCGGUCGUGCCACUGGUAUGUACUGGCCUUGCUGAUUCCUCCCUCUUGACGAACCGUAAUGCCAUUAAUUUGGUGUUGCGGGAAAUCAGGACUGUUACUUUGAAAAAUUAGAGUGUUUAAAGCAGGCUUAAGCUUGAAUACAUUAGCAUGGAAUAAUGAAAUAGGACGUUCGAUCCUAUUUUGUUGGUUUCUAGGAUUGACGUAAUGAUUAAUAGGGAUAGUUGGGGGCAUUAGUAUUCAAUUGUCAGAGGUGAAAUUCUUGGAUUUAUUGAAGACUGACUACUGCGAAAGCAUUUGCCAAGGAUGUUUUCAUUAAUCAAGAACGAAAGUUAGGGGAUCGAAGACGAUCAGAUACCGUCGUAGUCUUAACCAUAAACUAUGCCGACUAGGGAUCGGAUGAUG